Molecule: ribosomal RNA, 497 nt
Filed under: uncultured bacterium
Lineage: Bacteria
Description: partial 16S ribosomal RNA
Rfam family: Bacterial small subunit ribosomal RNA
Source: RNAcentral
GAUGAACGCUGGCGGCGUGCCUAAUACAUGCAAGUCGAGCGAACAGACGAGGAGCUUGCUCCUCUGACGUUAGCGGCGGACGGGUGAGUAACACGUGGAUAACCUACCUAUAAGACUGGGAUAACUUCGGGAAACCGGAGCUAAUACCGGAUAAUAUAUUGAACCGCAUGGUUCAAUAGUGAAAGACGGUUUUGCUGUCACUUAUAGAUGGAUCCGCGCCGCAUUAGCUAGUUGGUAAGGUAACGGCUUACCAAGGCGACGAUGCGUAGCCGACCUGAGAGGGGCAUCGGCCACACUGGAACUGAGACACGGUCCAGACUCCUACGGGAGGCAGCAGUAGGGAAUCUUCCGCAAUGGGCGAAAGCCUGACGGAGCAACGCCGCGUGAGUGAUGAAGGUCUUCGGAUCGUAAAACUCUGUUAUUAGGGAAGAACAAAUGUGUAAGUAACUAUGCACGUCUUGACGGUACCUAAUCAGAAAGCCACGGCUAACUACGUG